GUGAAACUGCAGGAAACAACAAUCGGAAAUAAAACUAGAAAAAUGUCGAAAAUAAUUUUAUUAUUAUCAAUUUUGGUAUUGUUUGUUAUCUAUCCUGGUGUAUAUGCAUCAUGUCCUGGCGGUUGGUGCCAUCCAUCACAAGGUUAUGGCUGUUGUGAAGGAAAUAUUUGCUCUUCACAUUUCUUACAAGGUACAUGCGUGACCUAUGCGGAACACGAGGCCAUGCACGCUGUGGGAAAAUGAUUAUAAUAAUUCAGUAAAAAUUUAUAAAUGUAUAAACGGAAAAAAAAAUCUGAGCCUCGAUUGGCCUUGGUUAGGAAUCAAAAUCAAGAUUUAAAUACGUUUUGACUCAUGUAACCAACAAUAUAAUAAAAAAUACCUGACAAAAAUA
Long non-coding RNA from Microplitis demolitor, 391 nucleotides. RefSeq lists it as uncharacterized. NCBI's taxonomy places the organism in Eukaryota, Metazoa, Arthropoda, Insecta, Hymenoptera, Braconidae. The record is from RefSeq and is a predicted model, not a curated record. The transcript has 3 exons.